CAGUCGCCGCGGUAAUACGGAGGGUGCAAGCGUUAAUCUGAAUUACUGGGCGUAAAGCGCACGCAGGCGGUCUGACAAGUCAGAUGUGAAAUCCCCGGGCUUAACCUGGGAACUGCAUUUGAAACUGUCAGGCUGGAGUCUUGUAGAGGGGGGUAGAAUUCCAGGUGUAGCGGUGAAAUGCGUAGAGAUCUGGAGGAAUACCGGUGGCGAAGGCGGCCCCCUGGACAAAGACUGACGCUCAGGUGCGAAAGCGUGGGGAGCAAACAGGAUUAGAUACCCGUGUAGUCCCUGUCUCUUAUAC
Molecule: ribosomal RNA, 301 nt
Filed under: uncultured bacterium
Lineage: Bacteria
Description: partial 16S ribosomal RNA
Rfam family: Bacterial small subunit ribosomal RNA
Source: RNAcentral